CGGAUGAUGGAACGGGCUAAAGCACGAAAGGAUCGCCUGAAAAAUCAAUUGAAAAUCACAGACGGUCUGAGAAUUGGCAUUCAGCCAAAUGUCUCACCGCUGAAGGAACCAAACUUCACAAAUGCUGUUGACUCAGAGCCAUUUACAAGGAAGUUUAUGCAUGACACUAAAUCUCCACAUUAUGUGCAUUCACAUGAUACCUCAUCAAGUUCAUAUGCAGCGGUUGAUGGAGUAGAUGAAAAUGCACCGUUUUUAGGCAGCAAAAAACUGAAGAAAGUUCAUCCUUGUCAACAGGAGUAAAUUUAGUUUCAUCAAAGACUCGAUUGAAGGAACAAUCACCAUUCAGAGCACAAGUUGAUUUUACUGCAACUGAUAUUCAGAAACCUGAUUCAAAGUCUUUCUUCAGCAGACAAGGAGUAAAGUCCACUUUUAAUGUCGAUGUCAGUGUACAAUCUCCUCAAAAAACUUCUGCUCCUCCCUCCGACAUGACAGCUGCAGAUCCUGAGACACAUUGCAUCAUUCGACCAGGAGAGGAAGUCACAAUCGAAGCGGACCCCCAAGAUAUGCAAGAGGCAGAGAUCACUCAUUCAAAUUUGACCAGGCAAGAUGCAAAGAUGAGACUGAAGAAGCUUGGUGCCCUUUACGGAGAUCGGCCAAGUCGAGUGUCCUCUCCUAUACAACAAACAGAAGAAUUAUUUGCUGCAGAAGAAAUUAAAAAAACUAGCGGUAAAUCAAUAGCUCGAUCUGCCAGGCUUGCUGCUCUCGCGAGUCAAAUCAAUCAGUGGGAGGAUGAUGUCAAAAAUGUACCCACUAGUUCAGUAAAAGAGGUGUCAAGAAAAGGUAAAGACGAAACACCACGAUUUCAACACUCUGUUACCUUCCAAUCUCCUAAGAAAGCUGGCUUAUCUCUUGAAGCAAGAUUUUCUUCUAUCACUCCUCAUCAGUUUAUAAAAUCUAAUUAUCAAAGUGGUGGCAUUUCAAUGAUGGCUCGAGCUCAAAAAUCAGUUUUGAAAAACAAACCUGCCGAAGAACUUAUAGUCGAUGGGGUUUUCUCUUCUGACGGAAGUGUACCUGUGAGGAGGGAUGUUGAAUUUACAUCUCCUGUGAAAGAGAUUUCAGGGGAACCUUCCCUCAGCCAAGCGAGAUCUCCAGCCAGGCCUAAAAUUCGGAUAAAUCCAUUACAGACAUAUUCUCCAAACAGGACAUCGCCCACAAAACAGUUAAGUCCUCAAAAAACAGCAUGGCCACAACCAUUUAGUUCACCACGUUUGAAAAACCCAAGUCAACUUUCUCCAGUUACUUCCCACACCAGCCCUUCCAAGUCAGCCUCAUAUUCUCCAAACAAGACAUCGCCUAUGAAACAGAUGAAUCCUCAAAAAACCACGUGGCUACAACCAUUCAGUCUGCCAAGUUCCACAAAUCCAAGCGAAUCCUGCCCAGUUACUUCUCAUACUAGCCCUCUCAAGUCAGCCUCACCUCGCCGAAUCAAUCUUUUAAGUCCAAAAAGACCAUCAAAGAACACUCCUAACCCAGGCUUCGUCCUUCAAAAAGCCAUCGCAUAUGAACAAGCUGUAAGUCCCACGAAAAAUAUUGUUAAGGACCCUGCUGAAUUGUCUUUAGCGGAGAGAAAAGCACUCUUUGAGAAAAAUAACAGCAAACCUAUUCUUCCUAAGGUACCUUUUGGUCAACCACUUCCCGUCAAUAAUAAGCAAACAAAUACUCACAUUAUGGAAGCCUGCGCAACUUCAACAAUGAAGGUAAAUAAUUUACCUUGGUCUCUCAAGCAAGAAGUCAUAGAAAAUUCAACAAAAAAAGGAAAUAAUUUACCUUACUCUCCAAUCAAGGACAAAUUGCCAGCAAAUAUGACUAUGGAAACUGAUGAUUCGUCUAACUCAUCCAAGAAGAAUCCAGUGCACUCGGCAGGUAAUAGACUCAACAAAAUAUUUGUCUUGUGAACUUCUCAUUUAACUUGGAAAAACGAUUUAUCCAAUCAAUAAUUAAGUACUCACAAAAUUAUUUAACCGCUGCAAUUUUAGCAAUUGCCAGGAUCUGUUAAUUUCUUUUUUGCUUUUCAAUCUGGCUCUGUUCCAAGGGAAAGCUGAAGCCAUGAACUUAAAGACCGAUUCUUGAAGGAUUAUAAUCUGAUUUUUGGUAACUGAACAGACGGCCAAUUUUAUUGAUAUUUUUUCUUCCAAAAUAGUCUUUUAAAAGUAUGAGCCUGAAAAUUUGUUCGUUUUUUACUUCCAGAUUCAUGGGUACGUACUUAAUUCAUUGUAUCUUAAUCACAAGUAAAAAUAUAUUUUUCCUACCAUCACCUUCAAUCCAAUAAUAGCACAAUUUUGAAGGAGCAAUUACGUAAAGGAUAGUAUUUUCGAACAGUAAAGUCCAAUUUUUAUAACCUGUUUGAAGUCCUUAUUGAUGAAAGGCCCAGCAGUGUCAUCUAUGAUAGGAGACAGAAAGUUUUAAGAUUCUAUAAUGGACCAAUUUUGGUGUUUUAUAUGGCAUUUCAAUGUUAGACCACCUGUAGCAGAAAAUUACAUACAUGACCAAGUUGAAGUUUGGUGCGAUAACUCCUUCAGUUUAAAGGGAGUGCUUUCUUGGUGGCAGAUGUUUUUGCAAAAACUACCAAAAGGGAUACAAGGUUUAAAAAACAUGCAAAUGGGUCAGUGCAAUAUUUGUGGCAUAUCAUUUUAGCAGAGUAUUUACCAGCAGCCUGUCUUUAUGUGGAAAAGGUUGUUUCAUCUGCCAUUGGAACUGGGCCCAGAAUGAAAUCUUCUCAUCUUUUCAGGUAUUAAAAAGCUUGAAAAAAAGAAAGCCGAAACUAAAAAACUCAAACUCAUAAAAAUUAAUUAAAAUUGCCGAUGUGUUUCAGGGCUGCCCUGUAGCUCAAAUUUUAAUUAAUUUUUGUGAGUUAGAGUUUUUUAGUUUCGGCUUUCUUUAUUUUCAUUAUUUAGCUCACAGUUUGUUACCUUGAUUUCCCGUUUGUUUUGUUUUGUUUAGUUUUUGUUACUUUCGGUUCGUUACAUUAAAAAACUUGGUCAAGAAUCCCCUGCUCCCAUUCCUUAGGGAAGGCCCCCUUUAAAAAACCAACAAAUUGUCAAAAAGUUUGAGGAGGGAAGGAAAAACUAAUCAUAAUCUGACCAACCAAAAGCCAACAGUCAUGAUGUUGUAAUUGGGCCGUAACUUUGCUGGGCUCCAGCCAAUUAGCCAAUACCAGCCCCAUAUCACAAAUCAUCUCUCAUAUUUCUAACUUGGUGGCACAACCGUACUGCCGUGCUAAGGAAGUAGGAAGAAGUGCCGUGCUGUAUGAACCAUCAGAUUCAAACUGAGAUGUUUACGUUCAAAGUCUAAGGCAUGCCUCUCUGCCAGAUUUGCAAAUUUUAAGUUUUCGUUUUCUCCCAUGAACAGCUUAAUAUCUUGGCUGUUCACUAGCGCUUAGAUAAUUUGCAAUAAGAUACUGACAUCCCGGAAAAUCACAAAAGAAUAAGGGUAUGUCGGACUUACGGCGAACUGCCCGUGCAGACAGGAUCCUUUCACUGUACCGAUUUUGCUGUGUGUCCAUCCUAGCGCUGAGGACGAGCUUCCAAAGCCGCCGGCUGGUUUAAGGGUCUCACCUCUUUUCGUUUCUGUUGGAUUUAUUUUUGCAGGAAUCAUUUCACCUAUAACAAAAAUCAUUAACCCUGCGUGUUUCUAAGGUAGAACUAUUUUAAAAUUUCAAGUAAAAACUAAUAAGGAAGAAUAAUAAUUACGAAAGUAACUACAAAUGAAUUGAAAGCUUCAUAUUUUUCUGUUUUAUUUGUAUGUUUCUAAUCUGAAUAGGGGGCAUGUUACAUUGAAAGUUGGCCUUAAAGGAAAAAAGUAAGUUCUGCGCAGAAAAAACAAUGUUAGUGGUUUGUAGUUUCCUGAUUCCAGUAAAAAAUAAAAUUCUUUUUUUCCCCUUUGCAACCUUUGUUUUUCUCCCUCUUUUCACUCACUAGGUAUCUUGAGGAGUCUAUUCUGCUUUCAUACAUUUAUUUUUUCUCUACGAGGCUACCUUUCUAAACUACUUGACUUACUUAAUUAUGACAUCUAAACUUCAAAGAUAUGAAAGGAAAACAUCACCGUGAGUCCGGGCAUUGGCGAGGGCUGCACGAGGCCAGUGCCGUAUGUCCGCAAAGCACGGGGAAACACGCCGUGAGUGCCACCCGUGUCCCGAGUUUCCUGGACGUACGGCAGUCUAUCGUUGCAACCUCGCCUCUAUGCGGGACAUACUGCAGGCACCCCCUCCAUAUCUGUGAAACCAAUGAAGAUACGCCUUUGUUGACUUCACCAUUGAAUAGAGCAUGCUUUACUCAGUAUAAUUUCGUAUCUAACUCAAACAAUUUUUUGGCUCAUAUGGCGUUUUUCCUUAGCACGGCAGCUUACAUGUUUAUGUUUUGGAUGGAAUUUCUUUAUUUGUGAAUUAAAUAUUUCAACAUGCAACUA
Molecule: long non-coding RNA, 4464 nt
Filed under: Bemisia tabaci
Lineage: Eukaryota; Metazoa; Arthropoda; Insecta; Hemiptera; Aleyrodidae
Description: lncRNA ENSSSA1UGG009350
Source: RNAcentral